RNAcentral lists this ribosomal RNA (248 nucleotides) under Staphylococcus aureus. RNAcentral describes it as "partial 16S ribosomal RNA". It matches the Rfam family "Bacterial small subunit ribosomal RNA", at positions 1294 to 1533 of the family's 1533-position model. Lineage: Bacteria; Bacillati; Bacillota; Bacilli; Caryophanales; Staphylococcaceae. The record is from RNAcentral.
CGGAUUGUAGUCUGCAACUCGACUACAUGAAGCUGGAAUCGCUAGUAAUCGUAGAUCAGCAUGCUACGGUGAAUACGUUCCCGGGUCUUGUACACACCGCCCGUCACACCACGAGAGUUUGUAACACCCGAAGCCGGUGGAGUAACCUUUUAGGAGCUACCCGUCGAAGGUGGGACAAAUGAUUGGGGUGAAGUCGUAACAAGGUAGCCGUAUCGGAAGGUGCGGCUGGAUCACCUCCUUUCUAAGGA